RNAcentral lists this ribosomal RNA (789 nucleotides) under Pseudomonas sp. Wr1F01. RNAcentral describes it as "bacterial SSU rRNA". It matches the Rfam family "Bacterial small subunit ribosomal RNA", at positions 38 to 825 of the family's 1533-position model. Lineage: Bacteria; Pseudomonadati; Pseudomonadota; Gammaproteobacteria; Pseudomonadales; Pseudomonadaceae. The record is from RNAcentral.
GGCUGCGGCCUAACACAUGCAAGUCGAGCGGUAGAGAGAAGCUUGCUUCUCUUGAGAGCGGCGGACGGGUGAGUAAUGCCUAGGAAUCUGCCUGGUAGUGGGGGAUAACGUUCGGAAACGGACGCUAAUACCGCAUACGUCCUACGGGAGAAAGCAGGGGACCUUCGGGCCUUGCGCUAUCAGAUGAGCCUAGGUCGGAUUAGCUAGUUGGUGAGGUAAUGGCUCACCAAGGCGACGAUCCGUAACUGGUCUGAGAGGAUGAUCAGUCACACUGGAACUGAGACACGGUCCAGACUCCUACGGGAGGCAGCAGUGGGGAAUAUUGGACAAUGGGCGAAAGCCUGAUCCAGCCAUGCCGCGUGUGUGAAGAAGGUCUUCGGAUUGUAAAGCACUUUAAGUUGGGAGGAAGGGUUGUAGAUUAAUACUCUGCAAUUUUGACGUUACCGACAGAAUAAGCACCGGCUAACUCUGUGCCAGCAGCCGCGGUAAUACAGAGGGUGCAAGCGUUAAUCGGAAUUACUGGGCGUAAAGCGCGCGUAGGUGGUUUGUUAAGUUGGAUGUGAAAUCCCCGGGCUCAACCUGGGAACUGCAUUCAAAACUGACUGACUAGAGUAUGGUAGAGGGUGGUGGAAUUUCCUGUGUAGCGGUGAAAUGCGUAGAUAUAGGAAGGAACACCAGUGGCGAAGGCGACCACCUGGACUAAUACUGACACUGAGGUGCGAAAGCGUGGGGAGGCAACAGGAUUAAAUACCCUGUAGUCCACGCCGUAACCAUGUCCACUACCCUUUG